GGGGAUAACUUGGGGAAACCCAAGCUAAUACCGCAUACGACCUACGGGUGAAAGGGGGCUUUUAGCUCUCGCUAUUAGAUGAGCCUAAGUCGGAAUAGCUGGUUGGUGGGGUAAAGGCCUACCAAGGCGACGAUCUGUAGCUGGUCUGAGAGGAUGAUCAGCCACACUGGGACUGAGACACGGCCCAG
This 188-nucleotide ribosomal RNA is filed under the name uncultured Pseudomonadales bacterium. Its description in RNAcentral is "partial 16S ribosomal RNA". It matches the Rfam family "Bacterial small subunit ribosomal RNA", at positions 139 to 334 of the family's 1533-position model. The record is from RNAcentral. Lineage: Bacteria; Pseudomonadati; Pseudomonadota; Gammaproteobacteria; Pseudomonadales.